AGAGUUUGAUCCUGGCUCAGAUUGAACGCUGGCGGCAUGCCUAACACAUGCAAGUCGAACGCGAAAGCGCCUUCGGGCGUGAGUAGAGUGGCGGACGGGUGAGUAACGCGUGGGAAUCUGCCCUGUAGUGGGGGACAACCCGGGGAAACUCGGGCUAAUACCGCAUACGUCCUACGGGAGAAAGGGGGCCUUCGGGCUCUCGCUACAGGAUGAGCCCGCGUCCGAUUAGCUAGUUGGUGGGGUAAAGGCCCACCAAGGCGACGAUCGGUAGCUGGUCUGAGAGGAUGAUCAGCCACACUGGGACUGAGACACGGCCCAGACUCCUACGGGAGGCAGCAGUGGGGAAUAUUGGACAAUGGGCGAAAGCCUGAUCCAGCAAUGCCGCGUGUGUGAAGAAGGCCUGCGGGUUGUAAAGCACUUUCAGUAGGGAAGAAAUGCUGAGGGUUAAUACCCCUUGGUCUUGACGUUACCUACAGAAGAAGCACCGGCUAACUCCGUGCCAGCAGCCGCGGUAAUACGGAGGGUGCAAGCGUUAAUCGGAAUCACUGGGCGUAAAGCGCACGUAGGCGGCUAGGUAAGUCAGAUGUGAAAGCCCCGGGCUCAACCUGGGAACUGCAUUUGAUACUGCUUGGCUUGAGUCUAGUAGAGGGGGGUGGAAUUCCAGGUGUAGCGGUGAAAAUGCGUAGAUAUCCUGGAGGAACACCAGUGUCGAAUGCGGCCCCCUGUACUAAGACUGACGCUGAGGUGCGAAAGCGUGGGGACCAAACAGGAUUAGAUACCCCUGGUAGUUCCACGCCUGUAAACGAUGUCGAACUAGUCCGUUGGAUCCUUUUUAUGGGUUUAGUGCCGUAGCUAACUGCGAUUAAGUCGACCGGCCCUGGGUAGUACCGGCCUGCAGCGUUAAAAACUACAAGGAUUUGACGGGGG
RNAcentral lists this ribosomal RNA (927 nucleotides) under uncultured bacterium. RNAcentral's name for it is "bacterial SSU rRNA". It matches the Rfam family "Bacterial small subunit ribosomal RNA", at positions 8 to 919 of the family's 1533-position model. The record is from RNAcentral.